This 251-nucleotide ribosomal RNA is filed under the name uncultured prokaryote. RNAcentral describes it as "partial 16S rRNA". It matches the Rfam family "Bacterial small subunit ribosomal RNA", at positions 525 to 775 of the family's 1533-position model. The record is from RNAcentral.
ACAGAGGGUGCGAGCGUUAAUCGGAAUUACUGGGCGUAAAGCGUGUGUAGGUGGUUAGAUAAGUUAGAUGUGAAAUCCCUGGGCUUAACCUGGGCACUGCGUUUAAGACUGUUUAGCUAGAGUACUGUAGAGGAUAGUGGAAUUUCCAGUGUAGCGGUGAAAUGCGUAGAUAUUGGAAGGAACACCAGUGGCGAAGGCGACUAUCUGGACAGAUACUGACACUGAGACACGAAAGCGUGGGGAGCAAACAG